AGUGAACGCUGGCGGUAGGCCUAACACAUGCAAGUCGAACGGCAGCACAGUAAGAGCUUGCUCUUACGGGUGGCGAGUGGCGGACGGGUGAGGAAUACAUCGGAAUCUACUUUUUCGUGGGGGAUAACGUAGGGAAACUUACGCUAAUACCGCAUACGACCUACGGGUGAAAGCAGGGGAUCUUCGGACCUUGCGCGAUUGAAUGAGCCGAUGUCGGAUUAGCUAGUUGGCGGGGUAAAGGCCCACCAAGGCGACGAUCCGUAGCUGGUCUGAGAGGAUGAUCAGCCACACUAGAACUGAGACACGGUCCAGACUCCUAAGGGAGGCAGCAGUGGGGAAUAUUGGACAAUGGGCGCAAGCCUGAUCCAGCCAUACCGCGUGGGUGAAGAAGGCCUUCGGGUUGUAAAGCCCUUUUGUUGGGAAAGAAAAGCAGCAGGUUAAUACCCCGCUGUUCUGACGGUACCCAAAGAAUAAGCACCGGCUAACUUCGUG
Molecule: ribosomal RNA, 492 nt
Filed under: uncultured bacterium
Lineage: Bacteria
Description: partial 16S ribosomal RNA
Rfam family: Bacterial small subunit ribosomal RNA
Source: RNAcentral